GAUGAAGAACGCAGCGAAAUGCGAUAAGUAGUGUGAAUUGCAGAAUGCAGUGAAUCAUCGAAUCUUUGAACGCACAUUGCGCCUUCUAGUAUUCUGGGAGGCAUGCCUGUUUGAGCGUCAUUAAACCUCUCUCAAGUAUGAUUACUUGGAUGUGAAGGAAGAGUACCUUAAACUUAAGGAGUGUUCUCCUUUGAAAUUGAUUAGCAGAUGGUAAUGUUAUUAAAUCCCUGAUGUUGUAAGAAAUAACAGUGGUUUUGUAGACUAUUAUCUAGCUUUAAAUUAUAAUUUUUAUUAUGGUUGACCUCAAAUCAGGUAAGGAUACCCGCUGAACUUAAGCAUAUCAAUAAGCGGAGGA
RNAcentral lists this unclassified non-coding RNA (355 nucleotides) under soil metagenome. RNAcentral's name for it is "partial contains 5.8S ribosomal RNA, internal transcribed spacer 2, and large subunit ribosomal RNA". The stretch from base 1 to 120 matches the Rfam family "5.8S ribosomal RNA", at positions 35 to 154 of the family's 154-position model. The record is from RNAcentral.